RNAcentral lists this long non-coding RNA (287 nucleotides) under Mytilus galloprovincialis (Mediterranean mussel). The record is from RNAcentral. Lineage: Eukaryota; Metazoa; Mollusca; Bivalvia; Mytilida; Mytilidae.
ACCGGAAGUAUUACAGAUGGAAUAGCACGUGCCUUAAAUGAUGUCUGUAUGAUAUAAUGAAUGACAUUCAAGCAAAGAAUGACGUUUUAGAUUAUUUAUCAUUGACAUGUUUCUUUCUAAUGUGUAUAUUGUUAAAUAAGGACAGAACUGUUAUGUCUAAAAUGAACUGUUUUUGCAUUUCUGAUGACCUUUCGCAGUUAUUCAUUUUAGAUAUAAAUUGUGUGUAUUAUUGCUAUAUCAUUGAAAUCUCAUUGUAUGUAUAUAUAUAUAAUUCUGCUCAUUCAUCU